Molecule: non-coding RNA, 114 nt
Organism: Triticum urartu
Lineage: Eukaryota; Viridiplantae; Streptophyta; Magnoliopsida; Poales; Poaceae
Source: Rfam
CUUGUACUCCCUCCGUCCGAAAAUACUUGUCAUUGAAAUGGAUGUAUCUAGAUGUAUUUUAGUUCUAGACACAUCCAUUUUGAUGACAAGUAAUUCCGACGGAGGGAGUACUUG